This 421-nucleotide unclassified non-coding RNA is filed under the name soil metagenome. RNAcentral's name for it is "partial contains 5.8S ribosomal RNA, internal transcribed spacer 2, and large subunit ribosomal RNA". The stretch from base 1 to 120 matches the Rfam family "5.8S ribosomal RNA", at positions 35 to 154 of the family's 154-position model. The record is from RNAcentral.
GAUGAAGAACGCAGCGAAAUGCGAUACGUAAUGUGAAUUGCAGAAUUCAGUGAAUCAUCGAAUCUUUGAACGCAUAUUGCGCUCUUUGGUAUUCCGAAGAGCAUGCUUGUUUGAGUAUCAGUAAACACCUCAACCUCUUCUUGAUUUUUCAAAAGGAGGGUGGACUUGAGCUAUCCCAACAACCUUUACCGGUCGGCGGGCGGCUUGAAAUGCAGGUGCAGCUGGACUUUUAUCUGAGCUAAAAGCAUAUCUACUUAGUCCUCGUCAAACAGGAUUAUUACUUUUGCUGCAGCUAACAUAAAGGAUAAUUGUCCUCUUUGCUGACUGAUGCAGGAUUUUACGACACUUUAUGUGUUGUUCAACUCGAUCUCAAAUCAAGUAAGACUACCCGCUGAACUUAAGCAUAUCAAUAAGCGGAGGA